CCUACGGGUGGCAGCAGUGGGGAAUAUUGCGCAAUGGGCGAAAGCCUGACGCAGCGACGCCGCGUGAGGGAUGAAGGUCUUCGGAUCGUAAACCUCUGUCAGCAGGGAAGAACGGUCACUGUGCUAAUCAGCAGUGAAUUGACGGUACCUGCAAAGGAAGCACCGGCUAACUCCGUGCCCGCAGCCGCGGGAAUACGGAGGGUGCGAGCGUUGAUCGGAAUUGCUGGGCGUAAAGCGCCCGUAGGCGGUAUGUCAAGUCAAGGGUGAAAGCCCCGCGCCCAACGUGGGAACUGCAUUUGAAACUGGCAAACUGGAGUGUGUGAGAGGAUAGUGGAAUUCCAGGUGUAGGAGUGAAAUCCGUAGAUAUCUGGAGGAACAUCAGUGGCGAAGGCGACUAUCUGGCACAUAACUGACGCUGAGGAGCGAAAGCGUGGGUAGCAAACAGGAUUAGAUACCCCUGUAGUC
RNAcentral lists this ribosomal RNA (465 nucleotides) under uncultured bacterium. RNAcentral describes it as "partial 16S ribosomal RNA". It matches the Rfam family "Bacterial small subunit ribosomal RNA", at positions 338 to 795 of the family's 1533-position model. The record is from RNAcentral.